Molecule: non-coding RNA, 702 nt
Organism: Drosophila virilis
Lineage: Eukaryota; Metazoa; Arthropoda; Insecta; Diptera; Drosophilidae
Source: RefSeq, a predicted model, not a curated record
UCAUUUGCAUUUCCACUUUGAAACAUGCCCUCGAACCAUUUGGAAUAUGUAUUUCAUAGAAUUCCAUGAAAAUUUAACUGAAAUGUUUCAACAUUCAAAUGUAAAAUUUCAAAAAAAAAAAAAAAAGGAGUUAAGCUGAAACUGAAAUUAUAGAACGGUAAAAGUCAAAUCACUCGAAUUAUGUGCAAAAGCUUCAAAGUAAAAUUUUAAUUAUGCAUUGGCCGCACUUUAAAUGCACAAAGAGUUCCACAUAUUUAUGCAAAUAAAGUAACAUAUUUCUCUGGCUUGCGAAUGUUUGUGCACAGUUUCAGGCCAGCAAUUUGUGUGAAGGCACCCGAGCAAGGCAUUGCUGGCAGCAGGCGGUGUGCAAUUGCCAAAUUAAUUAGUGCUCCUGGCUGGCUGGAAAAAAUUUAAUAAUUUUUGCAUGACGGCCUAUGCAAAUUGCUGGAAAAUAUCAAAGUGCGCGCCAGGGCGGAAAACUACGCAGGUGAAAAUUGCAAGUGAAUAAAGAAAAACGCUGCUCAAGGGCAAUUGGUCAUCUGACCAGAAUAGACCAAGUAAGAGUGCUCUAAUCGGGAGUACCCAACUAGCAAAUACACUGCAUAAGGCAACAAUGCAUUCUGACAUAUGAAAUAUACAAAAGCUCUUUAUACACCUUUCUCUAUCUAUACCUUACAAUAGAUACAAUAUUUGAAAUUAAAA